UACGUAGGGCGCAAGCGUUGUCCGGAAUUAUUGGGCGUAAAGAGCUCGUAGGCGGCUUGUCACGUCGGGUGUGAAAGCCCGGGGCUUAACCCCGGGUCUGCAUUCGAUACGGGCUAGCUAGAGUGUGGUAGGGGAGAUCGGAAUUCCUGGUGUAGCGGUGAAAUGCGCAGAUAUCAGGAGGAACACCGGUGGCGAAGGCGGAUCUCUGGGCCUUACCUGACGCUCAGGUGCGAAAGCGUGGGGAGCAAACAGG
RNAcentral lists this ribosomal RNA (253 nucleotides) under uncultured bacterium. Its description in RNAcentral is "partial 16S ribosomal RNA". It matches the Rfam family "Bacterial small subunit ribosomal RNA", at positions 524 to 776 of the family's 1533-position model. The record is from RNAcentral.